Non-coding RNA from Pelobates cultripes (western spadefoot toad), 823 nucleotides. The record is from the annotation of a GenBank genome assembly. Lineage: Eukaryota; Metazoa; Chordata; Amphibia; Anura; Pelobatidae.
CUCAUUUCGAUUAUCCGUGGGAAAUCUAUGGCCAUCUCCAGAAGGCGGGGAAACCACGGUUGAGAGUGCCAGAGCGGAGCUACCAUUACUAUCGUGCAAUUCUGCCUGGCCGAGUAUGCCAGUGUCCGGGAUAUCAGGUUGAACGGUGGGAACGCAUAAUGGUGUCCCAGCGGCCACGUCUGCAAGAACGCGUCCACCGCCGUGGCCGCUGGGUCCGGUCUCCAACUGAAGUAGUGGGGUAGUUGGGUGUUCAAUCUGGACGCGAACAAAUCCAGGUGAAGUGGACCCCACAACCGUUCUAUCCUUUGAAAUGUCGAGGACAGCAAGUGCCAGUCUCCUGAAUCCUUCAGGUAGCGCGAGUUCCAAUCCGCCCACUCGUUGUCCAGACCCGGAAUGUGCUCGGCCGUAACCGAUACGGCAUUGUGUAGGCAAUACUGCCAGAAAUCCUUUGCCAAGUUCGCCAACUGCUUCGAUUUUGUCCCCCCGAGGUGGUUUAUGUACCUGACUGCGGACACAUUGUCCAUACGUAGGAGGACGCAGCAAUUUCCCUGCGUCGGAGAUAGACUCCGAAUGGCAAACGAACCCGCCAGAAGUUCCAGGCAGUUUAUGUGCAGAGCCGAUUCGAUCUCUGACCAUCUUCCACCGGUGGAGACACCGCCACAGCGAGCGCCCCAGCCAUGCAGGCUUGCAUCCGACUCUAUGAUCACAUCCGGCGCGGAGCCGUAGAUCGCCAGGCCGUUCCAGGCCUCCAUGUGGUCCAACCACCACCUUAGUUCGUCUCUGGAGUCCCUGUCCAGGGUCAACACGCUCUCAUACGAGCCCC